GCCCCCGUGGCCCAAUGGACAAGGCGCCUGACCACGGAUCAGGAGAUUGAGAGUUCGAUUCUCUCCGGGGGUA
RNAcentral lists this transfer RNA (73 nucleotides) under Chrysochromulina tobinii. Its description in RNAcentral is "Chrysochromulina sp. CCMP291 tRNA". It matches the Rfam family "tRNA". From Rfam's summary of the family: Transfer RNA (tRNA) molecules are approximately 80 nucleotides in length. Their secondary structure includes four short double-helical elements and three loops (D, anti-codon, and T loops). The record is from Rfam by way of RNAcentral. Lineage: Eukaryota; Haptophyta; Prymnesiales; Chrysochromulinaceae.